Ailuropoda melanoleuca (giant panda) is the source of this 122-nucleotide small nucleolar RNA. Its record names the gene U3. It matches the Rfam family "Small nucleolar RNA U3". From Rfam's summary of the family: Small nucleolar RNAs (snoRNAs) are involved in the processing and modification of rRNA in the nucleolus. There are two main classes of snoRNAs: the box C/D class, and the box H/ACA class. Lineage: Eukaryota; Metazoa; Chordata; Mammalia; Carnivora; Ursidae. The record is from Ensembl.
GGUGCAGUGCUCUCUUCUGAGCGUGAAGCUGGCUCUAGGUGUCGUUUCCACAACUGGCUAUUUCCACUGAUGAUCGUUCUUCUCCUCCUUUGCGAGAGUAAGGGGAGAAGGACACAGUCUGA